Molecule: ribosomal RNA, 303 nt
Filed under: uncultured bacterium
Lineage: Bacteria
Description: partial 16S ribosomal RNA
Rfam family: Bacterial small subunit ribosomal RNA
Source: RNAcentral
AGCAGUAGCCCGGGAAUACAGAGGGUGCAAGCGUUAAUCGGAAUUACUGGGCGUAAAGCGCGCGUAGGUGGUUUGUUAAGUUGGAUGUGAAAGCCCCGGGCUCAACCUGGGAACUGCAUCCAAAACUGGCAAGCUAGAGUACGGUAGAGGGUGGUGGAAUUUCCUGUGUAGCGGUGAAAUGCGUAGAUAUAGGAAGGAACACCAGUGGCGAAGGCGACCACCUGGACUGAUACUGACACUGAGGUGCGAAAGCGUGGGGAGCAAACAGGAUUAGAUACCCCUGUAGUCCCUGUCUCUUAUACA